Long non-coding RNA from Helianthus annuus (common sunflower), 1395 nucleotides. RefSeq lists it as uncharacterized. The record is from RefSeq and is a predicted model, not a curated record. The transcript has 10 exons. Lineage: Eukaryota; Viridiplantae; Streptophyta; Magnoliopsida; Asterales; Asteraceae.
CAAGUUGAAUCAUCCAAAAUUUCCAGUUCCCCCUUUACCUAAGUGACCCGCCAUAAAAGAAUUUCAUUCUCCCGCUUCCCAACCCUAGGCAAAUUCCUCACCCUAUAAGCUCAAAUUCAAACUAAAAGUUUAACAGUUCCCUCUCUCAUUUUUUAGAAGAAGAUUGAGGAGACAACUAAUUAAAAGUUUUUGACACGACAGCCAUGAACAAUCGUAGUAGCAACUACAAAAAAUGCGGCCGCUGAUCCAUACUCUAAAGGGUUUGGAUCUGAUAGAAAAUUGACCGGCCUAAUUAAAGCUACACCAAAAAAAUCAAUCAUUCUCUAUAUGCAAAUGGGUUAACCAGGUCAGUUGUGAACCCAAAUCCGUCUAACUGGGCCAUGAUUCCAGGGCUUUGUCAUCUAUAUAAUUUUUAUUUCAAGGAACUUUUAGGACAAAAUGUCAUUUGCUUGUGAUGUGAGAAGUAUUCUGAUUUCUGUCCAAAGUCUUCUUGGAGUUUUUUUUCUAACUGUAGAACGAAGCACAAGUUCACAAGAACCUUUUCUAUGAUUUCUACUUGUAUGUCGAACGUUCAGACCAAUUGGUCAGCUUGAGACCUAUUUGAAGUUAAACUUGGUCAAGAAGCCCUACGUUCAUCGCAUCAUCUUAUUUUUUAAAUGGAUAUUUGUGAACAUAUGUUAUAUAACACAAGAUAAUGAACAAAUAUAUGAAUCUAUAUAUUGACCGACGACUUUCUAGUGGUGGUGGAAAUGAAUCGCAGUCAAUGACAGCAUAAGGGUUAAACUCACCUGGAUUAACGCUAGGUGUCCAUGUCAGCCAGGAGGUAUUGAAUGCGGCUACUAUGUGAUGAAGUUGAUAAAGGAGAUAGCUUACGAAGGACUUGAAAUAUUUGACAAUAAUAAUGUUGGGAAAGGAGUAGAGGAAUACUCGGCUGCAGAUAUGGAUGACAUUCGCGAAGAUUGGUCGACUUAUGCGGUUAACUCUAUUUUUAAGUUAUAAAUCGUAUUUUAGGUGUAUGCUUCAGAAAGUGGUGCCAACAUAAGGGUUAAACUCGUAUGGAUUAACGCUAGGUGUCCACGUCAGCCAGGAGGUACUGAAUGCGGCUACUAUGUGAUGAAGUUCAUGAAGGAGGUAGCUUACGAAGGAGUUGAAAUACUUGACAAUGAUAAUGUUGGGAAAGGAGUAGAGGAAUACUCGGCUGCGGAUAUGGAUGACAUUUGUGAAGAUUGGUCGACUUAUGCGGUUAACUCUAUUUUUAAGUUAUAAAUCGUAUUUUAGGUGUUGAUGACGUAUUGACAAACAAUUCUUUUUUUGUUAACGUUAAAAUAUUUGUAGUAUACUUGACAAAUGAUUAUGUAAUGGAUUGUUUUGGUAUAUAUAUAUAUAUAUGUGUGU